UACGUAGGGUGCAAGCGUUGUCCGGAAUUAUUGGGCGUAAAGAGCUCGUAGGCGGUUUGUCGCGUCUGCUGUGAAAACUCGGGGCUUAACUCCGGGCCUGCAGUGGGUACGGGCAGACUAGAGUGCGGUAGGGGAGACUGGAAUUCCUGGUGUAGCGGUGAAAUGCGCAGAUAUCAGGAGGAACACCGGUGGCGAAGGCAGGUCUCUGGGCCGAUACUGACGCUGAGGAGCGAAAGCGUGGGGAGCGAACAGG
Molecule: ribosomal RNA, 253 nt
Filed under: uncultured bacterium
Lineage: Bacteria
Description: partial 16S ribosomal RNA
Rfam family: Bacterial small subunit ribosomal RNA
Source: RNAcentral